Molecule: long non-coding RNA, 282 nt
Filed under: Glycine max (soybean)
Lineage: Eukaryota; Viridiplantae; Streptophyta; Magnoliopsida; Fabales; Fabaceae
Description: long non-coding RNA (GMAX_LNC002340)
Source: RNAcentral
UUGAGUUCGAGAUCUUCUGUUACUAAAGGAUGCCAGUGCACUGACCUACUCUUGAUGAUCAUUUCGGGUAAUAAAGCAUUAAUUGGAAAGGUGUGUGUUUAUGAACAGUUCAGAAGAGAGGUAAAAUCAUAAAUUAGAAGCUACUUCCAUGGAGGUUGCGGAUGUUUGUAGAUAAAUGGGUAGAGUUCCAAACCACUGUUUGGUUCUUUUCGUUUCCCACUAACCCCCGAACUUGAGGGUUGCGACAUGGAUCUUACUUGCUCCUCCUGCCGUUUCCUCCUG